This 1514-nucleotide ribosomal RNA is filed under the name metagenome. RNAcentral describes it as "bacterial SSU rRNA". It matches the Rfam family "Bacterial small subunit ribosomal RNA". The record is from RNAcentral.
GUUUGAUCCUGGCUCAGGACGAACGCUGGCGGCGUGCCUAAUACAUGCAAGUCUAACGGGAAAGUUUCCUUCGGGGAGCGAGUAUAGUGGCGAACGGGUGAGUAACGCGUAGGCAACCUGCCCCGAGGCGGGGAAUAACCCCAUUAACAUGGGGCUAAUACCGUAUGUGGCAGCUGGUUCGCAUGGACCGGUUGUUAAAGCGGGGGAUCCUUCGGGACCUCGCGCCACGGGAUGGGCCUGCGUUCCAUUAGCUUGUUGGCGGGGUAACGGCCCACCAAGGCGGCGAUGGAUAGCCGACCUGAGAGGGUGAUCGGCCACACUGGGACUGAGAUACGGCCCAGACUCCUACGGGAGGCAGCAGUAGGGAAUUUUGCGCAAUGGCCUAACGGCUGACGCAGCAACGCCGCGUGACUGAUGAAGCGCUAAGGCGUGUAAAGGUCUGUUAGGAGGGAAGAACGGUGCCGAUGUGAACAAUUUCGGCGCGUGACGGUACCUUCAGAGAAAGCACCGGCUAACUCCGUGCCAGCAGCCGCGGUAAUACGGGGGGUGCAAGCGUUGUCCGGAAUCACUGGGCGUAAAGGGUGGGCAGGCGGAUCGGUAAGUCUGACGUUUAAUUCAUUCGCUUAACGAGUGGCAUGCGUUGGAUACUGCCAAUCUUGAGUUGCGCAGAGGAAGGCGGAAUUCCUGGUGUAGCGGUGAAAUGUGUAGAUAUCAGGAAGAACACCGGUAGCGAAGGCGGCCUUCUGGGCGCUGACUGACGCUGAUCCACGAAAGCGUGGGGAGCAAACAGGAUUAGAUACCCUGGUAGUCCACGCCGUAAACGAUGAACACUAGGUGUUGGGGAGUUCACACUUCUCAGUGCCGUAGUCAACGCAUUAAGUGUUCCGCCUGGGGAGUACGAUCGCAAGGUUGAAACUCAAAGGAAUUGACGGGGGCCCGCACAAGCGGUGGAGCAUGUGGUUUAAUUCGAUCAACGCGAAGAACCUUACCAGGGCUUGAAAUGCAAUGGACAUCCCGGGAAACCGGGCUCCCUUCGGGGUCGUUGUAUAGGUGCUGCAUGGCUGUCGUCAGCUCGUGUCGUGAGAUGUUGGGUUAAGUCCCGCAACGAGCGCAACCCUUGCCCUUAGUUGCCAUCAGUUCGGCUGGGAACUCUAAGGGGACUGCCGACCCUAAGUCGGAGGAAGGUGGGGAUGACGUCAAGUCCUCAUGGCCCUUACGUCCUGGGCUACACACGUGCUACAAUGGCCGGUACAGAGGGUCGCAAUGCCGUGAGGUGGAGCUAAUCCCAAAAAAACCGGUCUCAGUUCAGAUCGAAGUCUGCAACUCGACUUCGUGAAGUUGGAAUCGCUAGUAAUCGCGGAUCAGAACGCCGCGGUGAAUACGUUCCCGGGCCUUGUACACACCGCCCGUCACGCCAUGGGAGUCGGGGGUACCCGAAGUCGCUAUUCCAACCUCUUUGAGGGGGAAGGCGCCGAAGGUAAAACCGAUGACUGGGGCGAAGUCGUAACAAGGUA